RNAcentral lists this ribosomal RNA (229 nucleotides) under uncultured bacterium. RNAcentral's name for it is "partial 16S ribosomal RNA". It matches the Rfam family "Bacterial small subunit ribosomal RNA", at positions 568 to 796 of the family's 1533-position model. The record is from RNAcentral.
UGCGCAGGCGGGGAUGUAAGUCAGUGGUGAAAUACUGCCGCUCAACGGUAGAACUGCCAUUGAUACUGCAUCUCUUGAGUAUGGUUGAGGUAGGCGGAAUGUGUUGUGUAGCGGUGAAAUGCAUAGAUAUGACACAGAACGCCAAUUGCGAAGGCAGCUUACUAAACCAUUACUGACGCUGAGGCACGAAAGCGUGGGGAGCGAACAGGAUUAAAUACCCUGGUAGUCC